UAUUGGUCAAUAGCCUAACGGCUGAACCAGCAACUUGGAGGAAUGUAUAGGGAAAACUGGUAAAAUGUGAUGUACCUAGUAGUAUUAGAAAUUAAAUAUGAGAUUAACUAAGUUAAUUAAAAUUCUAAGUAGAUAUGUGAUUAUGACAAUAUCUGCAUAGGUCUUGACCAAGUCACGUGCCAGCAGUCGCGGUAAUACGUGGAAGACGAGUGUUAUUCAUCUUUAUUGGGUUUAAAGGGUACCUAGACAGUUAAUUAAGCAAUUAUAUGUACUAAUUAACUAGAGUUUAAUGUAAGAAGGAUUGAGUACGGUGAGAGUAGAGAUAAAAUUUUUUGAUACCACUUAGGAACUGGUAACAGCGAAGGCUACCUUCAAAGUAAAAAACUGACGUUGAAGGACGAAGG
This 404-nucleotide ribosomal RNA is filed under the name Ocellularia diacida. RNAcentral's name for it is "SSU rRNA". It matches the Rfam family "Bacterial small subunit ribosomal RNA", at positions 362 to 759 of the family's 1533-position model. The record is from RNAcentral. Lineage: Eukaryota; Fungi; Ascomycota; Lecanoromycetes; Ostropales; Graphidaceae.